GAUGAACGCUGGCGGCGUGCCUAAUACAUGCAAGUAGAACGCUGAAGGAGGAGCUUGCUCUUCUGGAUGAGUUGCGAACGGGUGAGUAACGCGUAGGUAACCUGCCUGGUAGCGGGGGAUAACUAUUGGAAACGAUAGCUAAUACCGCAUGACAACAGUUAUUGCAUGAUAACUGUUUAAAAGGGGCAACUGCUCCACUACCAGAUGGACCUGCGUUGUAUUAGCUAGUUGGUGAGGUAACGGCUCACCAAGGCGACGAUACAUAGCCGACCUGAGAGGGUGAUCGGCCACACUGGGACUGAGACACGGCCCAGACUCCUACGGGAGGCAGCAGUAGGGAAUCUUCGGCAAUGGACGGAAGUCUGACCGAGCAACGCCGCGUGAGUGAAGAAGGUUUUCGGAUCGUAAAGCCCUGUUGUAAGAGAAGAACGAGUGUGAGAGUGGAAAGUUCACACUGUGACGGUAUCUUACCAGAAAGGGACGGCUAACUACGUG
RNAcentral lists this ribosomal RNA (495 nucleotides) under uncultured bacterium. RNAcentral's name for it is "partial 16S ribosomal RNA". It matches the Rfam family "Bacterial small subunit ribosomal RNA", at positions 28 to 507 of the family's 1533-position model. The record is from RNAcentral.